This 254-nucleotide ribosomal RNA is filed under the name uncultured bacterium. Its description in RNAcentral is "partial 16S ribosomal RNA". It matches the Rfam family "Bacterial small subunit ribosomal RNA", at positions 524 to 776 of the family's 1533-position model. The record is from RNAcentral.
UACGGGGGGGGGCAAGCGUUGUUCGGAAUUACUGGGCGUAAAGGGCUCGUAGGCGGCCAACUAAGUCGGAUGUGAAAUCCCCAAGCUUAACUUGGGAACUGCAUCCGAUACUGGAUGGCUUGAAUCCGGGAGAGGGAUGCAGAAUUCCAGGUGUAGCGGUGAAAUGCGUAGAUAUCUGGAGGAAUACCGGUGGCGAAGGCGGCAUCCUGGACCGGCAUUGACGCUGAGGCGCGAAGGCGUGGGGAGCGAACGGG